GAUGAACGCUGGCGGCGUGCUUAACACAUGCAAGUCGAACGAAGCACUUUAAUCGAUUUCUUCGGAUUGAAAUUUUAGUGACUGAGUGGCGGACGGGUGAGUAACGCGUGGGUAACCUGCCUCACACAGGGGGAUAACAGUUGGAAACGGCUGCUAAUACCGCAUAAGCGCACAGUACCGCAUGGUACGGUGUGAAAAACUCCGGUGGUGUGAGAUGGACCCGCGUCUGAUUAGCUAGUUGGCAGGGCAGCGGCCUACCAAGGCGACGAACAGUAGCCGACCUGAGAGGGUGACCGGCCACAUUGGGACUGAGACACGGCCCAAACUCCUACGGGAGGCAGCAGUGGGGAAUAUUGCACAAUGGGGGAAACCCUGAUGCAGCGACGCCGCGUGAGCGAAGAAGUAUUUCGGUAUGUAAAGCUCUAUCAGCAGGGAAGAAGAAAUGACGGUACCUGACUAAGAAGCACCGGCUAAAUACGUGCCAGCAGCCGCCGCCG
This 497-nucleotide ribosomal RNA is filed under the name uncultured bacterium. RNAcentral's name for it is "partial 16S ribosomal RNA". It matches the Rfam family "Bacterial small subunit ribosomal RNA", at positions 28 to 523 of the family's 1533-position model. The record is from RNAcentral.